GUUUUUCUAAUAAUCAAAGCAAUCAAAGCCAUUAUCCCUACUCUAAUUGGGCUGUGCGUGGUACUCGCAAUAAUUUCCCACAACGGGCGCCUUGUUAUUCCGGAUCCUUCCUAAUUUAAACGCGCAGGCAAAGGAGAAGCGGCUAUUAAGACAGCUCCUUAGUUCUCUGUUAGUCUUACCAAAAACUCAAACCAGUCCAAGCCCACACCAUGGAAGACAACGGGGAGCCUUUAACCGGGGGGAAUAGCAAAAUCACGCGAACUGUCUCGAACGCCUAUGAUGAAUUUCAUAGCUUCAGAUCAUACCUUCGAUGGAUGUGCCUGGAUCAAUCCAAUAAAGGGUUGAUUUGCCUUUCUUGGUUCAUGUUCAUUCUCUUUGCCAUUGUCGUCCCUGCAAUCUCCCAUUUCGUGUUGGCCUGUGCCUCCUGCGAUAGCAAGCACACAAGGCCUUAUGAUAGCGUCGUGCAAUUGUCGUUGAGUAGCGUCGCCACUUUGUCUUUCGUUUGUUUGUCGAAAUUUAUUAGGAGUUAUGGGCUGAGGAGGUUCUUGUUCUUCGACAAGCUCUGCGAUGAGAGCGAGACUGUGAGAAACGGGUACAUGAAUAAGCUCAAUAGGUCAUUGAAGCUUCUGUCAUUCUUCGUCGUCCCAUGCUUCAUUGCAGAAUCUGCGUACAAGAUAUGGUGGUAUGCCUCCGGUGCCUCUCAAAUACCAUUCUUGGGCAAUGUCAUCCUAAGCGACACCGUUGCUUGCAUAAUGGAGCUGUGCUCUUGGCUUUACCGUACCACUAUCAUCUUCUUAGUGUGCGUCCUCUUCCAUCUUAUCUGCCACCUCCAGAUCCUACGCCUCCAGGACUUCGCUCAGGUUUUUCAAGUUGAUUCCGAUGUCGAAUCUGUGUUAUCGGAGCACCUUAGGAUCAGGAGGCAUUUGAGGAUCAUCAGCCAUAGAUAUCGAGCAUUCGUUUUGUGGGCCCUCAUUUUGGUCACAGGGAGCCAAUUUGCUUCCUUGCUCAUUACCACCAGGUCUGGUGCUGCUGUUGAUAUUUACAGAGCUGGAGAACUUGCGCUAUGCUCUAUAACCCUUGUCACGGGGAUCCUAAUAAUACUGCGUAGUGCUACAAAAAUCACGCACAAGGCUCAAGCUGUUGCUUGCUUGGCUGCUAAGUGGCAUAUUUGUGCGACAUUAGACUCAUUUGACGCAACAGAAGGUGAGACCCCAAGGACUCCACUGAUGAUCACCGCCGAUGCAGAAUCAGAAGGUGAUGAUGCCGGCGACGAAGAGGAUGAGUUAGAUAACACUAAGUUGAUUCCUGCAUAUGCAUAUAGUACCAUCUCAUUCCAGAAGAGACAAGCUCUAGGUAAGAUUUACUACACUCGACACAAACUUUUGAGAUUAACUAGGGCUCAGUUGCCUAGAAUUUAAUAUUAAUCAAACCAUUGAUUAGUGUUUUGGAUAUGAUUUUAAUUAAUUACUAAUUUUAAUUAAUUUAUGGAUUAGUGACAUAUUUUGAGAACAAUAGAGCUGGGAUUACAGUAUACGGCUUCACACUGGAUCGGAGUACACUGCACUCCAUUUUCGGCGUUGAGUUAGCUCUAGUUCUAUGGUUGCUGGGAAAGACUGUCGGCAUUUCUUGAGAAAUAGGGUUUUUUACCAUAUGAAUGUUUAAUUAUCUGGCGAUCCUCCAAUAGGCUUUUUAGAUGCAGUGCGAGAGAGAUUGUAUCAUUGCAUUUAUGUUUCGGUGUAUUUUUUUUUUAAUUUUUUUAUUUUGCCUUAAAAGCAGUUUUGGGCGAUGGUUAUCUUUCCAUCUUUUGUUGGAGAAAAAUUAAUAGAAGUAUCAAUUUUCCUUCGGCUUAGAGAGACCGGCUUUGAUGUUAUUCUUUGUUCAUCUUCUUAUAUAGCAGUAGCAAUGCAUGCGU
Molecule: unclassified non-coding RNA, 1912 nt
Filed under: Hevea brasiliensis (rubber tree)
Lineage: Eukaryota; Viridiplantae; Streptophyta; Magnoliopsida; Malpighiales; Euphorbiaceae
Source: RNAcentral